GCUUCACCGAACCUAGCAAGGCAAGCAAACGCUCGGGAAAGAAGAAGUAAAUUGUCUUUCAAUGCGUGCAGACUGCGUUCGUGUUGCGCGUCAUGUGAAAAACAACGAGAAAAAAAGUGCGUGCCACGGGUGAAGCAGAUUUUCCGUAAACCAAAAAAUAAAAAAUGCAUCGAGACAACAUUGCUACCGAGUUUGUAAAGUUUUGAAGCAGCAAAAGUUAACAGUGUUUGCAGUGUUUGCUCAAAAGAAGUGAAACAAAACAAAAUAAAACCUACCUCAUUUAGUGCGUGGCAGCGCUUGCUAAGUAAGCCUCCACACGUUGCAAGUGUUUAUGUAAAGCAGAAAAGUACACACACAGCAUCUCAACGGAAACACGUUACCCAGGAGUCUGUGCAAAGGUUAAAUAUUUUAUUUUUUACAUUUACAAAAUCAGUGAAGAAAAAAAAACAAAAUUUGAAGAAAUUGUGUUGAAAAAGUUACAGCACCGGUGUGUACCAAAUAAAAAAGGCAAAAAUACACCGAAACAAAAUCAAAUUAGCAAAUAGUGUGUGUGUAUGUGAAAAAGUGAAGCAAGAAUAAAAAAAAGCUUUUUGGAAUCCAACAGCAACAAAAAUUACGUUCCUAUUUUCUUUUUCCAACGGUCGCAUAUUCUACGUUCUAGAAAACCCAAACAAAACAAACCGCACUGCGACGACGCGCCUUUUUCCCUCCAGAAGAAAAAGCACUAGAGGAAGGAUCCUUGCCUCUUGGGUGCUAAGUGGCAGUAGUAGUAGUAGUAGGUGCGGUUGUGUGUGUAUGUGUGUGGUGGUAUUGGGUGAAAAAUAGCGGAGCGGCUCUUGGUUUUAUCCUUUUUCGCAACCGAACGUCAUCCUGUUUUGCGUCUCACCAAUACACCCAUACCGUGACGACGACGAUAUGGCGGGUGUGUUCGAUCUGGAGCUGCACGAGGAGGAGGACCUUCACGACUCGGAUGACGACGUUAUCGAGAUCGAGGAUGUCGAUCUCGAGCCCGAACUUCACAUCAACACAAAUCUAGAUACCGAAGGAUCUGAAACGAUACCACUGUCGGAGGAUAUUGUAAAUCCUGGACGAAUCAAGCUAGGACCGCAGGAUUUCGAGCUAAAGAAAGUAUUAGGAAAAGGUGGAUAUGGUAAAGUCUUCCAAGUCAGAAAAACCACUGGUGCUGAUGCAAAUUCGUACUUCGCGAUGAAGGUGUUAAAAAAAGCUUCGAUAGUUAGAAAUCAAAAAGACACAGCCCACACACGCGCCGAGCGAAAUAUAUUAGAAGCCGUCAGGCAUCCAUUCAUAGUAGAGCUAGUGUACGCCUUCCAGACCGGUGGCAAGUUGUAUUUAAUCCUAGAAUACUUGAGCGGUGGCGAGCUGUUCAUGCAUUUAGAGCGUGAGGGUAUAUUCUUGGAGGACACUGCAUGCUUUUACCUAUGUGAAAUUAUUCUGGCCCUGGAACACCUGCACAAUCUUGGCAUCAUCUAUCGGGAUCUGAAACCGGAAAAUGUGCUACUCGAUGCGAAGGGUCACGUGAAGCUAACAGAUUUCGGUCUCUGCAAGGAACACAUCCAGGAGGGCAUUGUAACGCACACGUUCUGCGGUACGAUCGAGUACAUGGCACCGGAAAUAUUAACUCGUAGCGGACAUGGUAAAGCGGUCGAUUGGUGGUCACUGGGUGCCCUUAUGUACGAUAUGUUAACGGGAACGCCACCAUUCUGUGCGGACAAUCGAAAGAAAACGGUCGAUGCUAUACUGAAGGACAAGCUCAACAUUCCGGGCUAUCUGACACCGGAUUCGCGCGAUCUAAUUCGCCGGUUGAUGAAGCGUCAAGUGUCGCAGCGUCUCGGCAGUGGACCGACCGAUGGGCAGGCGGUAAGGGCACAUCCAUUCUUCAAGAACGUCAACUGGGAUGAUGUUGUGAAGAGAAGGCUUGAUCCACCAAUCAAACCUGUUUUGGCCAGUGAGGAUGAUGUGUCACAGUUCGAUACCAAGUUUACGAAAGAGAUUCCUGUAGAUUCGCCCGAUGAAACAACGCUGAGUGAGAGUGUCAAUCUAAUCUUCCAGGGUUUCACGUAUGUCGCUCCUUCCGUGCUAGAGGAAAUGCAGACGCGAAUCACAACACCACGAUCGCCCCGUCGAAUGCCGCGUCACCAUCACGGCCAUCAUCUACAUCAGCACCAUCCACACAAUCACCAUCACGGUGGCGCUGGUAGUUCUGCCGGAGCGCACGGUGCAGGCAGCAGUCGAAUGAUGGAGAAUGGUGGUGCGUGGAAGAUGGCACCCCAUCAAAACCUGCACAAUCAUCAUCCGCACGUGCAUCAGCAGCAACGGGUGGGACAGAUGGUACCACCGAACCAGCAACAAUCAGUCGGCCAACCGGCUCAACCACACAAUCAGACGCAACCGAACCAGGCCGGUGUUAGUGGCGGUCCGCCCGGCAGCAGACCGUUCAAUGCCGCCUCAAUCUCCCGACGAACGCCACCACAUCUGCAACCGUUUGCACCGAGACCCUCGCCACAGGACGAAAUGAUGGAUGUGUAUCCGGAAAUGUCCAUCUCUUAGUGAGUAGCGGGUCGUGUGCCGGCAGUACGAACUAGAGAUGAGAAUGACAACUCUUUUUAGCCAACGUUGGAAGAUUAUAGCAGUUAUAGAAAAUUUGUCACCUAAACAUGUGCAGUCCAGCGUGACACACCCAUAUUAAUGAUGAAGGUGAUGAUGGGUUGGAGCUGUACAGAAAGCAGCAUAAACGCUCAUCUCCAAACUAAUACUAACCCCGGUAGUCUAGCGUAAACAAUAGGAAAAAGCAAAUUAUUCUAGAAGCGAAUGAGGGGAAUGUAAGUUAGUGAAAAUAUAACGACAAAACAGUAGGGAAGUGAGGGUGCAACAAAAUCACCAAGAAAGUGUAAACUAGAAUAACAAAUUUUCCUCUCAAACAUUUGGUUUCGCAGCAGUAGCACCUGUUGAAGCUGUUUCCUUGCAGGCUAGAGCAAAUUUGGGUUUUUUCUCCUCUUUCUCUCUCUCUCUGUAACAAAAUUCCUGUUUUUACUAUACAAAAUUCGUUGAUUACGCGUUGCCCAAUCGUUACCAAAUGCUACGUUAGCGCAAUGUUUUAAGAACGUUUAUGUUUUGCACCUUAUUUUAAAAUGCUUCGACUCAGGCGACUCAGGCAGAUUUUGAAGGGAAGCUCCCCCAACAUCCUAUAGCCAAAUCAAUCCAGGAACGUAGGCAGGCAGGCAAGCUAGGCUCAUUCAGCAAUUUGGCAUGCUUUUAAGGAAAGGUACCCGGUAGUGUUACGAAUCAAUCAACUAACGAAUGGUGCAGAUACGACGUUUUACACGAGAAUAACGAGCCACGUGUUGCUGAAUAGGAUACGGAGCGUAGCAGAGCUGUUGUUUAUUACUUUUAUUCUACGCUCUUUCGACACUUUUGUGCUGCAUGAGACGAAUAGUUUAUGUAUGCAGAUUAACAAUUUUUUUUUUUGGGACAUAUUUAGAAAUAUUUUUGAUGUGUUGAUAUGAAGCUUUUAUUAUGUAUCUAUUUUCAUUUGUUCCACACGAUAUGUUUUUCGAACACGGUUCGCAGAUAUUAUUGAUAAAAAAAUUACUAUUAAAUUACUAGAAACUUUGCUUCACAAAAUGAUAGCAGGCUAGAAGGGAAAUUAUUGAUUUCAUUGCAAUACGACAUUGUGAGAAUUGGGGUGGCAAAGGUAGGCUUGCCCUACUCGAGGGUGGCAUAUUUUGAGAUUUUUUGUAAGGAAAGUUUAAUUAAAAUUUGUUUAUAAAUUGUAUUAUAAAGUGUGCUUGCACUCAAACCCCUGUUCUUCCGGAUCAUUUGAUGCCGCAAGCACUACAUUUACUUGGUGCGGCAAAUUUUACACUCGCAAAUAUUAUUAACUACAGUGAACGCAUAGCAAAAAAAAACACCAGGGAAUGAGCUUGAGGCAAGCGCGAACUUUAGAUAACGAAUCGUAAAAGAUGCAUUUUCAACACAUAAAGCAAACAGCGAGCAAUGAUAACGAAAACGGCCAGGGUGGAAAGAAAUUGUGUAGUUUGGUGGAAAGUUUAAUAUAACCCUCCAAGAUUAUUUACAACAAGAGACGUAAACGUUGAAAAAAGAAAAAAAGGAAGACAAACGAUACGAACCCGUGCGUAUAACAAUGAAGACAUGAAAUGGAAAUUAAUACUUUAAAAUCGUGCGUGACAAAAGAUUAGAUAUUAGCAUUCGGUUACUUCUUCUCCUUUACAUUUUUCUUCUUGUUCUAACUGGUAAAAAAAAAUCAAAUAUUGAAAGAAAGGACUUUCACGGUUGCAUGCAUUGGAAAACUAUUAAAUUUAACAAAACAAAACAAUUACACUAUGUUCCUUUUCUGUGUUUCCACAACUUUUGCUCUGUUUUAGGAAAGGGCCUAUUGUAUUUUACCCCCGCUUAAGAAUGUAGUUGAAAGGCAAGCAAAACAGAAAACUCGUACCACUGCCCACGAAAAGGGAAAGCAGCGAUGUGGCCGCCCCCCUCCGAACGAAGAAAUAGGGUUUUGACAGCAAUUAGUCAAUGAUACAAAAGGAAGGCAAAAAACCAACAAACUCUCACACACACAAAAAAUGGAAAACAAACUUACAAACAAAACCAAAAAAACCAAAACGUAAACGAAAACUACCAUUUGCAAUAGUCUGAAUGUAGCUAAAACAAAAAAAAAACAACGUAUAUGUGAAUAAAGUGUAGUAAAUCGAGUAUAAAACUCUAAACCUGUAGAGAGCUGAGGGUAAGGUGUGUGUGUGUGUGUGUGUGGCAGGAGAAGAGAUUUACAGAUAAUCCGCAACCGCGCGCGUAUAACUCUCCAUUAUUGAAACUUGCAUCAACAUGGUAAAACUAGCUAAUUAAGUUUCUUUACUAAUGCAAAAUGUGCAGCUGCCAGAGCACAUAAUACACAUACAUAUGUUACGUGGAAGCGAAACUAAAAAUAAAACAAUAGUGUAAAGAUAUGGAAACCAAUAUGACUGAUUUUUAUCGAAACCGCAAAGGCCGGAUGAAGGGGUGGAAUUAUGUGGAAAGUAAAGAAAUCAGUGCAAAAACACAAAAACACAAACAGCAGCGGCACAGAGAGGACACUACCAAAAGAAUGUAUAGCAGAGCAGUAAACGGCAAUGAAACGAGGGACGUUGUUCCUUAUUCUAGCUAAAUGUAACUUCUGGCUUUACUAUUCACUACUUUGCGCCGGUGUCGUUAGCGAAGCAAUUCGCCAAUGAAGACGCUGAAACGUUUUUUUUUUUCAUUUACCAUUUACCAAUGUUGUAUCAUAAUGAACAACGUUUAAUAUAACUAUCAAAGUACUAAAAUCGAAAAAGAAUCCUUUGCUAACCUGCUGCUCCUACCGUUUAUCGGAAUGGACGUGUAGUGUUUCAUUUGUACUGUAUUUUGUAUCUAGCUCAAUUUGGUGCGUGUGUGUGCGUGUGUGGGUAGAUUUAUGUUUGUUCCUUUUUGUUUAUUUCCUUACCCUUGGUAGAUAUGAUUUAGGUGUAGAAAGAUAAAGUUAUAUAAAGAAGAAAAGCUACAUAACACUGUAUAACAACACCUCAGCGGAAACAAAACAAAACAAAACAAGAAAACCACUCGUGUGCACUAAUUGUACAUUAAUUGUACGUAAAAUCAAAGCAAUUACAAGUUCGCAAUUUGUGACAUUAACAACUCACAAUUAUUAACAUGAUUCUGCCUUAAUUAAAGUUCCAAUAAAGUAGAUAAGAAAUGAAGCAACUUAGACGCGCACGAAACUCCUUUCCGAGGAGUUUGGCUUCAUGUCUAAUAUCACACACGUUGUGUUGCUUCCGUGUGCUGUCAUUCCGUUCUGGUAGCUGGCUACAAUUGUGUUUGCCCCCUUUUUGCGUUGUUCAAACUACUCACAGAAAGGGAAGACGGGGUGUCGUGUGGGUGUGGGACUCCUCAUUCUAGCAUUUUGGUACGUUGCUUUUUGGAAGGCUUUAUAGAUGGAGCAGUUAUAGAGUAACUCUCAUUUUUCUACAAACUAAACUUGCUAAUUUUUACAAAACAACAGAACAAACAGCAGUUGAAUUGGUUAGCAAAACGUAUGGAAAUGGUGUACGGUGAAACGAGUAGUGUUUAGACAAACAUAUAAACAAGAGAAGAAGCUCGAAGCGGCGGGGUACUAGCAAAAUGCAAGACAAAUCGUUUAAUGAGUGGGACAAUUAGACAAUGCAAAUGAAACUGGUACUACUACAAAAUUGAGCACGAACAGUAUGGAAAUUGUAAUCAAAGCAAACAAGCAAAAAAAAACACAACAAA
Molecule: RNA transcript, 6300 nt
Organism: Anopheles funestus (African malaria mosquito)
Lineage: Eukaryota; Metazoa; Arthropoda; Insecta; Diptera; Culicidae
Gene: S6k
Gene name: ribosomal protein S6 kinase beta-2
Exons: 12
Source: RefSeq, a predicted model, not a curated record